Molecule: ribosomal RNA, 363 nt
Filed under: uncultured bacterium
Lineage: Bacteria
Description: bacterial SSU rRNA
Rfam family: Bacterial small subunit ribosomal RNA
Source: RNAcentral
ACGAACGCUGGCGGCGUGCCUAAUACAUGCAAGUCGAACGCAUUUUCUUUCACCGUAGCUUGCUACACCGAAAGAAAAUGAGUGGCGAACGGGUGAGUAACACGUGGGUAACCUGCCCAUCAGCGGGGGAUAACACUUGGAAACAGGUGCUAAUACCGCAUAAUUCCAUUUACCGCAUGGUAAAUGGAUGAAAGGCGCUUUUGCGUCACUGAUGGAUGGACCCGCGGUGCAUUAGCUAGUUGGUGGGGUAACGGCCUACCAAGGCUGCGAUGCAUAGCCGACCUGAGAGGGUGAUCGGCCACACUGGGACUGAGACACGGCCCAGACUCCUACGGGAGGCAGCAGUAGGGAAUCUUCGGCAAU